UACGUAGGGUGCGAGCGUUACUCGGAAUUACUGGGCGUAAAGCGUGCGCAGGCGGCGCGUUAAGACAGGUGUGAAAGCCCCGAGCUUAACCUAGGAAUUGCGCUUGAGACUGGAUAGCUUGGAGUGCGGCAGAGGGAGGUGGAAUUCCACGUGUAGCAGUGAAAUGCGUAGAGAUGUGGAGGAACACCGAUGGCGAAGGCAGCCUCCUGGGCCAGCACUGACGCUCAUGCACGAAAGCGUGGGGAGCAAACAGG
This 254-nucleotide ribosomal RNA is filed under the name uncultured bacterium. Its description in RNAcentral is "partial 16S ribosomal RNA". It matches the Rfam family "Bacterial small subunit ribosomal RNA", at positions 524 to 776 of the family's 1533-position model. The record is from RNAcentral.